This 345-nucleotide ribosomal RNA is filed under the name Triticum aestivum (bread wheat). RNAcentral's name for it is "partial small subunit ribosomal RNA". Lineage: Eukaryota; Viridiplantae; Streptophyta; Magnoliopsida; Poales; Poaceae. The record is from RNAcentral.
AUGAAAAAAUUCAUCAAAACUCAAGUACGGUCCUGCUUGGUGUGUCAGCAAGCUAAACCAGAGAGAGUUCAAUACCCUAGAUUGUUAUCUCCUCUGCCAGUACCUUCCAAAGCUUGGGACACAAUGUUCAUGGAUUUUAUAUUAGGUCUUCCUACAUCCUUCCAAUAUAAUUGCAUACUGGUGGUGAUUGACAAGAUCCCUAAAUAUGGCCAUUUGAUUCCUCUCUCACACCCCUUCAAUGCUCAGAAAGUGGAUGAAGUUUUCAUAGAUAAUGUGUACAAGUUACAUGGUAUGCCCAGGCUAAUAAUAUGUGAUAGGGACCCCAUUUUCACUAGUUCCUUCUAG